Molecule: ribosomal RNA, 249 nt
Filed under: uncultured Syntrophobacteraceae bacterium
Lineage: Bacteria; Pseudomonadati; Thermodesulfobacteriota; Syntrophobacteria; Syntrophobacterales; Syntrophobacteraceae
Description: partial 16S ribosomal RNA
Rfam family: Bacterial small subunit ribosomal RNA
Source: RNAcentral
CACGCUGUAAACGAUGAGCACUGGGUGUAGCGGGUACUCAUUCCUGCUGUGCCGCAGCUAACGCGUUAAGUGCUCCGCCUGGGGAUUACGGUCGCAAGACUAAAACUCAAAGGAAUUGACGGGGGCCCGCACAAGCGGUGGAGUAUGUGGUUUAAUUCGACGCAACGCGAAGAACCUUACCUGGGCUUGACAUCCCCGGCCAACCCUGGAAACAGGGCCUUCCCCUUCGGGGGAUCGGGUGACAGGUGC